Salmo salar (Atlantic salmon) is the source of this 54-nucleotide non-coding RNA. The record is from Rfam. NCBI's taxonomy places the organism in Eukaryota, Metazoa, Chordata, Actinopteri, Salmoniformes, Salmonidae.
AAUGCACCAAUUUGUAAGUCGCUCUGGAUAAAAGCGUCUGCUAAAUUACGUAAA